AUAAUUCCCUGAUUGCCCGUGAAUCUUAAUCAACGUUGCAAAUGUCACUGGAUCAAUGCGCCAUUUCUCUGUCCUAGCGCGGUCAUACAAGCUAAAAGCCUUGUCAACAUUACCGGCACGGCCAUAUGCAUCAAUCAUAGCCGAAUAGGUAACAUCAUCAGGACUACACCCGUAACUAGGCAUCUUCUCAAACCACUCCACAGCCUUAUCAGGCAGAUAACACAUCCUAGCACAGCUAAUCAUAGUCGAAAACGUAACAUUAUCAGGUGUAACACCUCUCUCAAUCAUCUCAUUAAACAGCUUCUCUGCUCUCACUAAAUCCUUACACUUUCUAAACACUUUCAAUGUCACAUUGUAGAGAACCACUUCCCUCUUAGGUUUAAACCUCUGCUGAAAGUACUUUAGAGCAAGUAAUGCAUUUUCGGGGUUAACCAUGGUAUUAAGAACAACGACAGCAUCUUGUUCCAAUACCCCAUCACCCAAAGUCUUUAAAAUAUCAACAACAUCACUUUCACUUAGGCCGACAGAGUUCAAGGACUCAGCUACUUUGACUAAAGAAGUGUACCUGGAAUCGUAGGACUUGUUCCUAAGAUGAGAAGCUCUGGGGCUUCUGGGAUUGACCCAAACAUAGCUUUUGGAGGAAGACUCGGAAUUUCCAUCGGGGUUUUCAGUUUUUGGGGUUUCUUGUAAAGAAACAUGGUUUAUUUGGAGAGAAAUUCUGGAGUGAAGAGUAGGGAAGGUGUGAGUAUCAGAGGUGGUUGGCCUGAGCCUUCUAGAGGAGGAGAGAGAGUGAGAGAGAAAGAGAGAGGAGGGUGUGGAGGAUACAUGAUAAGCCAUUGUUUCCCUCUUUGUUUUGCGUCUGUGACUAUCAGGACUGAAGAGAGAGAUGAGGUUUAAUGGUCUAUGCUGUGGUGAGGGUACAUGGUUCGUUAUGGUGUUUCCUGGUUCUCCACCGUAGGAUAUGUGGGAUCGGCGUAUGAUUGUAGUUUAUCUUUAGUUUUUUUUUUUUUUAAAUGGUGGGCCUCGCAGCCCGCAAUGGAUCCGCCACACAUUGACCACCUAGCCCUGUAUGGUCUCCGCUUGGCCCAAAGAAAUAAUUUUUUUCUUUUGUAUUCUAUUUCUUUCUUUUUUAAAUGAUGGCCCCGUAUUUUGCAGACCGCCUAACCCCACAUGGUCUCCACCAAACACAUAUAAAUUAUUUUUUUUAAUAUUUUUUUUCCUCUUAAUAUCUGGGAUGAAACCUUUGCCGGCCUUGUUAUUGUUGUUUUGCAGCCGACUUCUCCGUCUCCGCCGUGUAAUUGGACAGCGGCUAUGGUCAUAUGUCUAAACUUAACAUGUAUGUGCUGAAUUGAAGUUUCUGAGUCAGAAGGUUGUUAAGAGUCAUCGAGGCAGGUAUUACUGCCGUAUAUAUAUAUUAGUUGAUUUGUUUAGUUUCCGAGUUGAUUGUUAAGGAUUGGCCCAGAUUUCACUGAAACUCUUAGGAAUGACUAGAAUCUAGUUAAACAUGCAGUUGCCCACUUGCCCUCAUCGACCUUGUGAGAAUGUGAGUGAAAGCAGCUUCCAGUGUUCCAUUUGAGCCAUAAGUUGGGCCAUUCUGCAACGGUCACCUUCGAUCACCAAUCAUAUCCACCAUUGAUCACCAAUCAUACUUUAUUAUUUACUUUUGUUCUAUAUAUAAAAAACAACACCAACUUUAACGUACGUUGUAAAAAUGGAGAUCGAUCGAGCUGGAAGCAGCUUUCCCACAAAGUACAGUAGCAGGUCAAGGCAGGUAUACAGACAUGAUCGAUUUUACAUGAUGGCGCACGCUUGGGGAUUUUCUUCACCGAAACAAUCGGGGCGUGUCAUGCAGUAACUACUAGUGGCAUAGCUCCUCCCACCGCCGUAACUAUCAUACACUGGCCCACCGUAACCAUACCCAGUUUGGCAGGGACCACCCGGAUGCCCUCCGUAACAAUCCAUACAACACUCGCUCACCGUCACCGGAGGGUAAGCCGGAACCAGAAACAGAACCGGCUCUUCCUUCGGCUUCUCUGCCUUCUUGGGUUCGUCUUUAGGCCUUUCAGCCUCCUUCGGUGUCCCUUUAGGCUUGUCAGCAUCUAUUGGUUUCUUUUUAGGCUCCUCUUUCUUCUUCUCCUCUGGUUUCGCUUUAGGCUUCUCCUCCUUUGGUUUCUCUUUGGGCUUCUCGGGCUCUUUGAUGUCGAUGCUCUUGAUGGCGCCACCUCCUUUGCAGCAUAGCUUGUCUCUGAUCUUCUCAGGACUGCAGCAGACCACCUUGAUGAUCACCUGGUUGUUCUUCUCGUCGUACGUCUGGUCUCGUAUUUCUCUUGUUCACAAAAUCCAACCAAUACCAGAAACCACACUCAAUUUACGUUUUUUUGUUUUCUCUGCUAAAAUACACAACGUACCAGAAUGGAAGAGAAAAGAAGAAACUCACGAGGGAAUUUACAGAGAACUUUCUUAACCUUCUUGUAGCAUUUUUCACACUGAAGGUCCACCUUCAGAACCAUUAUCGUCACCUGAUGACAUUAAUACAAUCAUUUUUGCAGAAAUUAGAUAGGUAUAGAGAAUGGUUAAUUACUUCUUCUUCUUUUUUAUGUAGAAGAAGAAGUGAGUAAUUAAGAAUGGAUCGAAGAUGAUUUGAAGAUCGAUGAGGAAUCGAAUCGAUCUCUGUGUUUCUGACAGAAGAAUGAUGAGUCGGGUAUAGGCGACAAAUUGAAGAAGAAAGAGCCAAAAGCUUGAGAAUUAAAAAGUGAGGAGCAGCAGCCACAAAAAAUAAAAAUUGAGAGGAGCAGAUUUGAUGCAAUGGGCAAUCAAUCUACUUAUCUAUAUGAUGAGGAAAAAGAGCUGGAAAAGCAUAAACAACUUUCUAGUAGCUAAUGUUAAGAAAGAAAUACCUUUUUUUCCCCCAUUGUUGCAGCAGUGAGAUGGGAUCUGAUGUUCUUUGUGAACGGAACCUCCCAGCUAAAAUGAUUGAAUAGGACGGGAGUCAGUGACCCGAGUUGGCAUAUAAAUUGAGCAGCUGGCGGNNNNNNNNNNNNNNNNNNNNNNNNNNNNNNNNNNNNNNNNNNNNNNNNNNNNNNNNNNNNNNNNNNNNNNNNNNNNNNNNNNNNNNNNNNNNNNNNNNNNNNNNNNNNNNNNNNNNNNNNNNNNNNNNNNNNNNNNNNNCUCUCUCUCUCUCUCUCUCUCUCUCUCUCUCUGAUCUGAAACUUUUCCUCUCUCUCUUUCACCGAUGCCACCCUCCUUCGCCGAUGCCAUCCCACCCGCCGCUUCAUCUCCGGCUCCGACGAGGUCCGGGAGCUGCCGGAAAACGACUGCAAGAUCUGAACGAUCGCAUCCACCAAGACCCGAGGGGCCGGGCUCGUCAUUCUCAUCGACGACAUCCACUUCGGUCAAGUCCAGUGAGCCCGUCGUUGUCGCCGCCGUCGGUCAACAUCUGCACCGUUUCACAUUGGCGCUGCCUCGAGGAUCCGCGACCGAGAUGUUACCAUCGAGAUAGGACGACUCCGGAGAAGCGUUGCGCUACUACGAGUCCGAAGAGCAGCGUUCUGGUCGUUCUCCAACGUCGUCUGCACACCGUCGCUUGGAAACGUCGAUGCGAGCUGAGCUUGACGAGGCCGACGAAGAUGGAGUCGGGAGGGAAGGUGGAGGCGGCGCCAGGGAGAGGAGGCUUGGUGUUGGUGGAUUUGGAGCGGAGGAGCUCGGUGAGGACGGUCAGGAUGCGCUUGGAGUCCACGUGGACGGUGAAGAGGUUGGGGACGUUGGCGGGGUAGGCGCGGAUGACCUCCGGCUGAUCAAUCUCCUCGAUUGAAAUCCCUCAAAACUUAGGCAGGUGCAUGGCUUUGACUAGUUUUUCUCUCUAUUUUUAUGAGAUGAGAAUUUGAGAAAAGAGGAAGGGUGAAUAGGAAAAGGGACGGUGGAAUAUUGAACGUUGACGAUGUUUAUUAGUCCAGUUGUUUUGUUUUCUGAGUCCUUUCGAACUUAAAAAUGUAUGUUUAAAAUGAUUAUUGACUGACAGUAACUGAUUAUUGGGGGUCAGUAACUGAUUAUGUUCUAAUAUUUCUUUUUUCUAGUAUUAUUAAGCUGAAAUAAGUUGAUUAUUGGGGGUCAGUAAUUGAUUAUUAGAGGUUAGUAACACGAUUAUUAGGGGUCAGUAACUGGUUAUUGGGGUCAGUAACUGGUUACUGGGUGUCAGUAACUAACUGGUUACUGGGUGUCAGUAACUGGUUAUUAGGUGUCAGUAACUGGUUACUAGGUGUCAGUAACUGGUCAGUUAGUGGUUACUGGGUGUCAGUAACUAGUUAUUGGGGGUUAGUAACUGAUUAUUAUGAGUCAUUAACUUGUCAGUAACUGGUUAUUGGGAGUCAGUAACUAGUUACAGGGGAAAUUCCGGAGUCCGGCGAUCGAGGAAAUUCUGGUGACCGGAGUCCGGCGGUCGGGGAAAUUCCAGUGACCGGAGUCCGGCGGCCGGUGACCAGAGUCCGGUGAGAUUCCGGCCAAGUAUUCUCUCUUUUAUUUUCUCUCUCUAUGCAUAUGUAAGAGGUGAGGGCAAAAUAGUCUUAAAAUAAUAUGGUUAAUUUGUUAAGACUUUAGUAAAUAUUUGUGUAUUUUGGCAUAAAGAUUUGUGCAUUUGGACAUAAAAAAAUGCAUCUUAUAUUGAAAUGGGCUAAUGAAAAAGAUUUUCAUUGGAAUAAAAAUAAAAAUUUAAAUUAGUACUAAAUUGACAUUCUAAUGCAAUAGAAUGGUCUGAAUGUGGAGGAUGGACCAAAUUAAUACCGCAGUAAUAUGAUUAGGGUGUCAUUCACCCGGCCACAUCUUGUUGUUUUCGAUUCAAGUAUCAAGCACCCACAUGGCACAUGGAGCAUCCCACAACUGUCCCCGGCGCUAGUAGUUGCCACCGUCCAUCUUCGGACUAGCAAAUUGUUAUGGAUCAUUCUCCUUACCAUGAUCCACGACGUAUUACCAAGAAUACAUGAUAAGCCAUUGUUUCCCCCUUUCUUUUGCGUCUGUGACUAUCAGGACCGGGAGAGAUGAGGUUUAUUGGUCUAUGGUGUGGUGAGGGUACGGUACAUGGUUCGUUAUGGUGUUUCCUGCCUAUCCACCGUUGCAUAUGUGCGAUCGGCGUAUGAAUUUAGGUUAUAUAUAUAUAUAUUUUUUUUUUUCAUUUUAAAUGGUGGGCCUCGCAGCCAACAAAUGCCCGUCACACAUUAACCGUUAGCCCUGUAUGGUCUCCGCCUGGCCCAUAUAAAUAAUUUGUUUUUUAUAUUCUUUUUCUUUCUUUUUUAAAUGGUGGACCCCGCAUUUUGCGUGUAGCGAACCGCCUAGCCCCAAAUGAUCUCCGCCUAAUCCAUAUAAAUUAUUUUUCGUUUAUAUUUUUUUUCCUCUUAAAAUCUGGGAAGAAACCUUUAGCGGCCUUACUGUUGUUGUUGCACAGCCGACUUCUCCGUCUCCGCCACGUAAUUGGACUACGGCCAUGGUCAUAUGUCUAAACUUAACAUGUAUGUGUUGAAUUGAAGUUUCUGAGUCAGAAGGCUGUUAGAGUCAUCGAUUGCAGGUAUAUAUGGUAUAUUAUUGCCGUAUAUAUAUUGGUUGAUUGUUUAGUUUCCGAGUUGUUGUUAAGGAUCGGGUUAAAAAGAUUGAGCAUUAUAUUAUAGCUAUUUAUAGCUAUAAACAGCACAUUGCAUAUCCAUUGAUGAAUUUAUGUUAGUGAUGCAUGUUGGAAUGAAAACUGAUCGGUGUUGGCUAGUUUGGAAUGAAAACUGAUUUGGUGUUAGCAAGUUUCAAUUGAAUAAAGUUUGAAUUGCAUUUUGUAUAUUCUAGAUUAAGUUAUUAAUUGUCGCUUCUGCAUGUUGGUUUUAUUCUUGUUUUAGGACAUUUUAAUCAGGUUUCAUUUUUUGUAUAUGUUACUAUUGAAUUUGUUGUGCUAGGUUUCUUGGUUCUACUUGCUGAUGAUGAAGUUUAGGUCCUGGCAAAGUUGAUAAUUUUGUAAGCUUGUAGGUGUUUUGCCUUGUGUCAUGGUCCAUUACGAAGGGUGAUGAUCCUGCAAAUGCAGCCUUCUCGGAAGUAAGUUAAUCUCAUGAAAUUAUCUCAUCUUUUUAAUCCUUGUCAGAGCUCUAUACAUUUUUUGGUUUAAGCAUACCAGCUUGUGUUUCAAGUCAAAUUUAUUGUUUGAGAUUCAUAUCUUUUGUUUAGUCUCUGUUGUUUUACUUUUAUUCGUCUCUUUGUCCAAUUGUUAUAAGAUCCGAAAACGUUAUAUAAGAUACUAGAUUGAGAAUGUUCCAAGUUCUAAAACACCACAUAAUGUUUCGUUUCGUGCAAAGGGACCUGAGACUGGAAGUCAAGUACCAUAUGGCCUUGCAGGGGAGAGUAGUCUGGUUAAACGUGAUUGACCCAGAUUUCACUGAAAUUCUUAGGAAUGACUAGAAUCUAGUUAAACAUGCAGUUGCCCCGUUGCCCUCAUGGACCUUGUGAGAAUGUGAGUGAAAGCAGCUUCCAGUGUUCCAUUUGAGCCAUAAGUUGGGCCUUUCUGCAACGGUCACCUUGGAGGACCAUUAAGGAACCAAACAAGUGGAUCGGCCCAUUUAUGAUCUUAGCCCUAGUCUAAGCAAGAACAAUAAGAGAGAGACUUGCAUGUCAAACUAUUCACUUCUUUCAUACAUGUAUGCAUAGGAAGUAAGUAAUGGCAAACAGAUGGUAUUAUGUAGGUGAUUGUAAAUCGAACAUAAACAUAUGGUUCCAUUCAAACCGAAGGAAUAUAAUGUACAACUUUUAGUGGGCUAAUUAACACGCAUAUCAAAGUUGCUUCUCUAGCUAGUAAAAGAACUAAGAACAACGUACCCUUAUUAUACUACUCAACAGUCGUUCAUAAAUUAAACAAACUCCAGAUUUUGAGUAAUAGAAAAUGGAGUUGCAUUGGACUUGUCCUACUUCUUUGUCGGCAAUAGACGGUGUGUAUGAGUGCAAUCGCAGCAGCAUCGAAUAUUUUAACUAGUUUGUAGGCUUGGGGAUCGUUCUUUCAUGUGAAUCAAUCACACAUAUAGUUGACCUAAUUUCAUACUCGCCCACUUUUUAUACUUAGAUGCAUCCAUCGCAUGGAGAUCGAGUUGGAGACCUAGCUAGCUAGCUCAUCUUAAUUAUUGGUACCAAAUUCUUCCAACAAAUGGACAAAUAAUUCAAAAAAAUAUAUGCAUAUGUGCACAGGACAAAAUUCAUAUGCAAUUUGAUGGAACUUUUAUUUCAUUAAUGGAAUAAAGAUUGUAACAACUUCUUCUUCUUCUUCUUCUUGUAGCUAGCUCUAUAAUGGAUGGCUGGCAUGGCUAACCUGAUCGUGACAUAUCCACCACCAUCACCAUUGAUCACCAACCAUGCUUUAUUAUUUUACUUUUGUUCUAUAUAUAAAAAACAACACCAACUUUAACGUACACUGUAAAAAUGGAGACACCGAUCGAUCGAGCUGGAAGCAGUUUUCCCACAAAGUAUAGUAGAAGGUCAAGGCAGGUAUACAGAUAUGAUCGAUUUUACAUGAUGGCGCACGCUUGGGGAUUUUCUUCACUGAAACAAUCAGGGCGUGUCACGCAGUAACUACUAGUGGCGUAGCUCCUCCCACCGCCGUAACUAUCGUACACUGGCCUUCCAUAGUAGCCGUCGUACUGUAUGUAUGGUGCUGCCCCACCGUAACCGUACCCAGUUUGGCAGGGACCACCCGGAUGCCCUCCGUAACAUUCCAUACAACACGCGUUCACCGUCACCGGAGGGUAAGCAGUAACCGGAGGCUGAGUAGGCUGAGAAGGCUUCGGCUUCUCUGCGUCCUUGGGUUUCUCUUUAGGUUUUUCAGCCUCUUUAGGUUUCUCAGCCUCCUUUGGUUUCUCAGCCUCUUUUGGUUUCUCUUUAGGCUUUUCAGCCUCUUUAGGUUUCUCAGCCUCCUUUGGUUUCUCUUUAGGCUUCUCAGCCUCCUUUGGUUUCUCUUUAGGCUUCUCAGGCUCCUUGGGCUUGGGCUUCUCGGGCGGCAAGAUGUCGAUGCUCUUGAUGGCGCCACCUCCUUUGCAGCAUAGCUUGUCUCUGAUCUUCUCAGGACUGCAGCAGACCACCUUGAUGAUCACCUGGUUGUUCUUCUCGUCGUACGCCUGGUCUCGUAUUUCUCUUGUUCACAAAAUCCAACCAAUACCAGAAACCACACUCAAUUUACGUUUUUUUGUUUUCUCUGCUAAAAUACACAACGUACCAGAAUGGAAGAGAAAAGAAGAGACUCACGAGGGAAUUUACACAGAACUUUCUUAACCUUCUUGUAGCAUUUUUCACACUGAAGGUCCACCUUCAGAACCAUUAUCGUCACCUGAUGACAUUAAUACAAUCAUUUUUGCAGAAAUUAGAUAGGUAUAGAAUGGUUAAUUACUUCUUCUUCUUCUUCUUCUUUUUUUCUGCAGAAGAAGAAGUGAGUAAUUAAGAAUGGAUCGAAGAUGAUUUGAAGAUGGAUGAGGAAUUUUAUCCAUCAGGUUCUGUGUUUCUGACAGAAGAAUGAUGAGUCGGUUAUAGGCGACAAAUUGAAGAAGAAAGAGCCAAAAGCUUGAGAAUUAAAAAGUGAGGAGCAGCAGCCACAAAAAAUAAAAAUUGAGAGGAGCAGAUUUGAUGCAAUGGGCAAUCAAUCUACUUAUCUAUAUGAUGAGGAAAAAGAGCUGGAAAAGCAUAAACAACUUUCUAGUAGCUAAUGUUAAGAGAGAAAUACCUUUUUUUCCCCCAUUGUUGCAGCAGUGAGAUGGGAUCUGAUGUUCUUUGUGAACGGAACCUUCCCAGCUAAAAUGAUUGAAUAGGACGGGAGUCAGUGACCCGAGUUGGCAUAUAAAUUGAGCAGNNNNNNNNNNNNNNNNNNNNNNNNNNNNNNNNNNNNNNNNNNNNNNNNNNNNNNNNNNNNNNNNNNNNNNNNNNNNNNNNNNNNNNNNNNNNNNNNNNNNNNNNNNNNNNNNNNNNNNNNNNNNNNNNNNNNNNNNNNNNNNNNNNNNNNNNNNNNNNNNNNNNNNNNNNNNNNNNNNNNNNNNNNNNNNNNNNNNNNNNNNNNNNNNNNNNNNNNNNNNNNNNNNNNNNNNNNNNNNNNNNNNNNNNNNNNNNNNNNNNNNNNNNNNNNNNNNNNNNNNNNNNNNNNNNNNNNNNNNNNNNNNNNNNNNNNNNNNNNNNNNNNNNNNNNNNNNNNNUUUUUUUUUUUGGUCAAGAAAAAAAAAAGGGAACCAUUUAGCAAUGUUGACAUAUGCAUGGAGGUGAAACUUUCAAAAACCGCGGGCUCCAGAUAUUGACGAUUGCACGUUUCUUACACCCAGGGUCUUCGAUCUAUUACAUCUUCAUCAUGGAAAAUUAAAUUAUUAUGUUACGUACAUACAUGGAUAUGUGAUGUGGGAGUGGUUCUAAAAAUAACUAUUUAGUUGAAUAUUUUUUUAUUAAUAGUUUAUUACAUAUAUUUUUCAAUUAAUUUUUUAUCUCAACCGUUUAGUUUUUAAUAGAUCAUUUUUUUAAAUUUUCAACCAAAUUUUUGAUCGUUAAGGAAUCGAACUUAAUCAAAUCAAUUGACGAUCCUUAUCUAUUAAAUAUGAGUCGUUCAAGUUUAUAAUCGGUAAAUCACAUUUAUGAAUAUCUCAACGAUUUUAAAUUUAGAUAAAAAUUUAUAGAGAUGAUAUUUUCAUAUAUAUUUACAAAUUAGGCGGUCGAGAUGUGAACAUGUGAUUGAAAACGGAGUGAAACAAAGAAAUUUUCAAUUAGUCUUCAACUUAGUGGUCCUCGUUAGAACCACUCUCAUGUGAUACAAACAUACUUUAUUACGAGGCAAAAUUUUCCUAUCACACCAUCACCACCCUACUAGCACAUGUUCUUUUUUUCUUAGUUGUAUGUAUCAUAUACCUAUAACCUAUCUUCAUAGUAGAUAAUCCCCUUCAUCAUACAUACACGUGUUGUGUUUACACAGCUAUAUUCAAAAACUUAAUUUUAAGAUUAACCUCAUCGUCAUUCUAAUUUAAAAAUAAUAUUAUGAAAUAGCAUGUGAUCGACCUUUGGCUCUUUACUGAUGAUUGUAUUUGUGUGACUGUCUCCUCAAUUUGAUUCUUCGUCCCAUAAAAAUAAUAUAUAAGCGUAAUUAGUCUUUGUACGUAGUAUCAUCGAUCUUAUACGUACAUGGCCAUGCAUUUAUCCGUUGUAAUAUCACUGGUUAUUUGUUGAUGAGCAGACUAUAUGAUAGGUAGCUAUGUAGCAAAUUACUCAAUUCCGAGCACAAAAAUACAGCAAUCAAUUGUUUGUCUUGAUCGGUAGUCUCACUCAAUCACAUACGUAAGUGACCGGAUCACUCAUGCAUGACUCAGCUAGACCUAGAGCUGGAGGGUGGUGUCUUCAUAAGAAGUUGAAAUCUGUGAACACAGCCAUCGAAUAAAUUCAACAAAGUCCUCAGUAGUGGGCAUCGGACAACAACCUUACGCAACUUAGGCUCCAUCGAUCUCAUCAUAUAUGCUUUACAAAUAUUUCUUCUGCCGACAAUUUCACACAUUUUACAAGCCCAUAUGCCAGUCUUCUUAAAUAUAACCAAGAUAUGCCUUCCACUUAGCCCAAUGCAAUGGACCUAAUAUUAAGCCCACGCUAUAUAUGCACAAUCCGGGCCUCCCAUCUAUUCUGUACGGGAAUUAUGAUCGGUACGGUGAGUUUGAGACUCUGACCAGCAUCGUCGACGAUCCAAUGACUCGAUUCAUACACCAUUCAUGUACAAAAAACGAUACGAGUCUAUAACCAAUUUUUCAUCGAGUUUAUUGAGGCUACUGUGCACUUUGAACUCUGCACGACUCAUGCAUCUUCAAUCAUGUACGUGUAGCUAACUGAACCUGAAUCAAAUUCACACUCUUUAAAAUUAGUACUAAAUGAACAUACCUGUUCUCUUCAUUACAUAUCAGUGUAGCCGAUAUCAGCACACAUAGACAAAAGGGUGUUAUAGAGAAUUACAUUCAACUCCAUUCCCUUCUCCUUCAUCUCCUUGGCAAAGAGCCCUUGCUGAUCAUCUCUCGGUAAAUUUUCUUGGCCUGCCAAGGCCUCUUAGCUCUUCCCAUAGAAUCCAACAAAGUAUUAUAAAUAACCAUGUUCGGCUUAACCCAAAUUGCCUUCAUUUCCUCGUAAACUUUCAAGCACCCAUCAUAAUUCCCUGAUUGCCCGUGAAUCUUAAUCAACGUUGCAAAUGUCACUGGAUCAAUGCGCCAUUUCUCUGUCCUAGCGCAGUCAUACAAGCUAAAAGCCUUGUCAACAUUACCGGCACGGCCAUAUGCAUCGAUCAUAGCCGAAUAGGUAACAUCAUCAGGACUACACCCGUAACUAGGCAUCUUCUCAAACCACUCCACAGCCUUAUCAGGCAGAUAACACAUCCUAGCACAGCUAAUCAUAGUCGAAAACGUAACAUUAUCAGGUGUAACACCUCUCUCAAGCAUCUCAUUAAACAGCUUCUCUGCUCUCACUAAAUCCUUACACUUUCUAAACACUUUCAAUGUCACAUUGUAGAGAACCACUUCCCUCUUAGGUUUGAACAUGUGCUGAAAGUACUUUAGAGCAAGUAACGCAUUUUCGGGGUUACCAUGGUAUUAAGAACAACGACAGCAUCUUGUUCCAAAACCCCAUCACCUAAAGUCUUUAAAAUAUCAAAAACAUCACUUUCACUUAGGCAGACAGAGUUCAAGGACUCAGCUACUUUGACUAAAGAAGUGUACCUGGAAUCGUAGGACUUGUUCCUAAGAUGAGAAGCCCUGGGGCUGCUGGGAUUGACCCAAACAUAGCUUUUGGAGGAAGACUCGGAAUUUCCAUCGGGGUUUUCAGUUUUUGGGGUUUCUUGUAAAGAAACAUGGUUUAUUUGGAGAGAAAUUGUGGAGUGAAGAGUAGGGAAGGUGAGAUUGAAGGUGUGAGUAUCAGAGGUGGUUGGCCUGAGCUUUCUAGAGGAGGAGAGAGAGUGAGAGAGAAAGAGAGACGAGGGUGUGGAGGAUACAUGAUAAGCCAUUGUUUCCCUCUUUGUUUUGCGUCUGUGACUAUCAGGACCGAAGAGAGAGAUGAGGUUUAAUGGUCUCUGGUGUGGUGAGGGUACAUGGUUCGUUAUGGUGUUUCCUGCUUCUCCACCGUUGGAUAUAUGGGAUCGGCGUAUGAUUUUAGUUUAUAUUUGUUUUUUUUUUUCGUUUUAAAUGGUGGAUCUCGCAGCCCACAAAGGGCCGCCACACGUGGACCGCCUAGCCCUGUUUUGUCUCCGCCUAGCCCAUAGAAAUUAUUUUUUCUUUUGUAUUUUCUUUUUCUUUUUUUUAAAUCAUGGACCCCGUAUUCUGUUAAGGCCCGCUACACGUGGACCGCCUAGCGCCAUAUGGUCUCAGCCUAGCCCAUAUAAAUUACUUUUCUUUUAUAUUUUUUUUCCUCUAAAAAUCUGGGAUGAAACCUUUGGCGGCCUUGUUGUUGUUGUGUAGCCGACUUCUCCGUCUCCGCCGCGUAAUUGGACGGCAACCAUAGUCAUCUGUCUAAACAUAACAUGUAUGUGCCGAAUUGAGGUUUCUGAGUCGGAAGGUUGUUAGUCAUCGAUUGCAGGUAUAUAUGGUAUAUUACUGCCGUAUGUAUAUUGAUUGAUUUGUUUAGUUUCCGAGUUGAUUGUCAUGGAUUGGGUUAAAAAAGUUGAGCAUUAUAUUAUAGCUAUUUAUAGCUAUAAACAACACAUUGCAUAUCCAUUGAUGCAUAUAUGUUAGUGAUGUUUGAAUGAAAACUGAUUCGGUGUCGGCAAGUUUAUAAUGAAAACUGAUUUGGUGUUAGCAAGUUUCAGUUGAAUAAAGUUUGAAUUGCAUUUUGUAUAUUAUAGAUUAAGUUAUUAGUAGUCGCUUAUGCGUAUUGGUUUUAUUCUUGUUUUUGGUUUAAUCAGGUUUCAUUUUCUGUAUAUGUUACUAUUGAAUUUGUUGUGCUAGCAGGUUUCUUGGUUCUACUUGCUGAUGAUGAAGUUUAGGUAGCUGAUAAUUUUGUAAGCUUGUAGGUGUUUUGCCUUGUGUCAUGGUCCGCUGCGGAGGGUGGAUGAUCCAGCAAAUGCAGCCUGCUUGGAAGUAAGUUAAUCUCAUGAAAUUAUCUCAUGUUUUUAAUCUUUGUUAGAGCUCUAUACAUUUUUUUGUUUGAGCAUACCAGUUUCUGUGUCAAGUCAAGUUUACUGCUUGGGAUUCAGAUCUUCUAUUUAGUCUCUGUUGUUUUACUUUUAUUCGUCUCUUUGUCCAAUUGUUAUAAGAUAAAAAAAUAAAAAAAGGUUAUAUAAGAUGCUAGAUUGAGAAUGUCCCAAGUUCUAAAACACCACAUAAUGUUUCGUUUUGUACAAAAGGACCUGAAACACUGAAGGAAGAUGGUACGUAACUUAUUGUUCCUGGAAUCCAUAACUUUACAUCAACAACUUAUUGUUCCUGUAACAACUUAUUCUUCUUCUUGUACCUCUAUAAUGGAUGGCUGGCACCGUGGCGUAGCUAGCUAGGGGUCAAACGGUUCAAUUGAACCCUCUCAGAUUUUGAAAAAGCUUAAUUAGCUAGCCUUAAUGAACAAACAUAAAUUGACAUUUCUUCUUUGAGAAAUCCUUAAUUAAUCUUAAAUAUUCUUCAACACCAAUAGAAUGAAAUAAAAAUUUAUACUAUUAAAAUACUUAAUCUAAUUAAUACAAAUCAUGUAAAUAGUUUCUUACCUUACUAACGUGUACUUUAAUGCUUUGAAUUCCAUUUACGAUUUUUUUUUUCAUUACAAAUAAGCUAAAUGGAAGCAACACAUUAAUGUUUACUAUGCAUUGACACUAUCUCUAGAAAAAGAAAAGGCAACAUAUUUUUCUCAAUAUUUAUCGUGCAUGAAAUUUCAAAAUUUAUUUAAGAUGAUUAUCGUGCUAGCUAGAGAGUGAUUGAAAAUAAAUUUAAUUUAUUAGGUAAUAAAUUUUGACCAUUCUAAAUAACAUUUCUAGCUACGCCACAGAGGGACGGCUACCUGAUCGUGACAUAUCCACCACCAUCACCAUUGAUCACCAACCAUACUUUAUUAUUUACUUUUGUUCUAUAUAUAAAAAACAACACCAACUUUAAAAAACAACACCAACCUUAAAAAUAGAGAUCGGUCGAGCUGGAAGCAGCUUUCCCACAAAGUACAAUAGCAGGUCAAGGCAGGUAGACAGACAUGAUCGAUUUUACAUGAUGGCGCACGCUUGGGGAUUUUCUUCACUGAAACAAUCGGGGCGUGUCACGCAGUAACUACUAGUGGAGUAGCUCCUCCCACCGCCGUAACUAUCAUACACUGGCCUUCCAUAGUAGCCAUCGUACUCUAUGUAUGGUGCUGCCCCACCGUAACCGUACCCAGUUUGGCAAGGACCACCCGGAUGCCCUCCGUAACAAUCCAUACAACACGUGCUCCCCGUCACCGGAGGGUUAGCAGGAACAACCGGAGGCGGAGGCGGAGGUGGAGGCGGAGUAGGCUUCGACUUCUCUGCGUCCCGGAUUUGGCAGGGACAACCCGGAUGCCGUCCGUAACAAACAAUACAACACACGUUCACUGUCACCGGAGGGUAAGCAGGAAACGGAGGCGCAGUAAGCUUCGGAUUCUCUGGUUUCUUUUCAGGCUCUGGUUCCUUUUCAGGCUCUUGUUUCUUUUCAGGCUCUGGUGUCUUUUCAGGCUCUUGUUUCUUUUCAGGCUCUGGUGUCUUUUCAGGCUCUUGUUUCUGUUUAGGCUUUGGUGUCUUUUCAGGCUCUUGUUUCUUUUUAGGCUCUAAGAUGUCGAUUCUCUUGAUGGCGCCAUCUCCUUCGCAGCAUAGCUUGUCUCUGAUCUUCUCAGGACUGCAGCAGACCACCUUGACGAUUACCUGGUUGUUCUUCUCGUCGUAUGUCUGGUCUCGUAUUUCUUUUGUUCACAAAAUCCAACCAAUACCAGAAACCACACUCAAUUUACGUUUUUUUUGUUUUCUCUGCUAAAACACAACGUACCAGAAUGGAAGAGAAAAGAAGAGACUCACGAGGGAAUUUACAGAGAACUUUCUUAACCUUCUUGUAGCAUUUUUCACACUGAAGGUCCACCUUCAGAACCAUUAUCGUCACCUGAUGACAUUAAUACAAUCAUUUUUGCAGAAAUUAGAUAGCAGGUACAGAAUUUUAAGGAGGUUAAUUACUUCUUCUUCUUCUUUUUUAUGCAGAAGAAGUGCGUAAUUAAGAAUGGAUCGAAGUUGAUAUAUGUUUUCUGGUUUUGAAGAUCGAUGAGGAAUCGAAUCCAUCAGGUUCUGUGUUUCUGACAGAAGAAUGAUGAGUCGAGUAUAGGCGACAAAUUGAAGAAGAAAGAGCCAAAACCUUGAGUUAAUUGAGAGGAGCAGAAUUGAUGAAAUGGGCAAUCAAUCUAUUUAUCUAUAUGAUGAGGAAAAAGAGAUGGAAAAGCAUAAACAACUUUCUGGCAGCUAAUGUUAAGAGAGAAAUACCUUUUUUUCGCCCAUUGUUGCAGGAGUGAGUGAUCAGAUGGGAUCUGAUGUUCUUUGUGAACGGAACCUCCGAGCUAAGAUGAUUGAGUAGGACGGGAGUCACUGAGCCGAGUUGGCAUAUAAAUUGAGCAGCUGACAAUUAUUAUGAGAAAUUAGCUAGCUUGCCCUGUAUAGAUUAUUAUUCCGAUCAUGGUGUGAUGAUCAUAAUGAAUCAAAAGUGGAGUAGGAGUAGAAUUAGAUUGCAAGAAAAGGAUGGUAGUACAUAUAUGGCAUGGGGACUGUUGGGGAGGGUUUAUCAAGCUAGUUAGCUAGAAGAAUGGUCUGAAUGGAUCAAAUUAAUACUGCAAUAAUAUGACUAGGGUAUCAUAUACCCGGCCACAUCUUGUUUUCGAUUUAAAGCAUCAUGCACAUGGAACGUCCCACAUCUUGUUGUUUUCGAUUUAAAGUAGUGCCACCUUCCAUCUUUGGACUAGCCAAUUGUUCUCGGGCAUUCUCCUUUUAAUGAUCCACGCACGUACUACCAAGAAUAGCCGCCAGUGAUUCACACGUUUCGGAUCGAAAUUAGUUUUUCCUUUGUCAUAGAACAUUCGGAGCAAGUGAACCAUUAGCAAUGUUGACGUAUGCAUGGUGACGAUUGCACAUUUCUUAUUUCUUACACCCGGGGGGGGGUUCUUCGAUUCGAUCUUUUACAUCUUCAUUAUGCUACGUAAAUGGAUAUAUGUGAUACAAACAUACCUUAUUUACGAGGCAAAAUUUUCAUAUCACACCACCACCGCCCUGUUAAGCUAGCACAUGUUUUUUCUUCUUAAUUUUAUGUAUCACUAGUCUCUUAACAUAUGCACGUUCACACGUGUGUCAAUUUGUUUUUAUCCUUUUGAUUUAUAUUUUUCAGAUUUUAAUUGCAAAUAACUGUUAAUGCAGUUAUCAUUCAGCAAAAACUGCUACAAGUUUUUCUCCCUUUUUUUUGUUUUUUGUUUUCUUCUUUUAUAUGUUGAAAUUACUUUAUUUUGUUGUCAUUUUACGAUAUUAACCAUCCUUGAUUUUUUUUUCCUGUGUCAAAACUCCUCUUUCGUGGGUAAUAUAGAUAGUUCAUAAAAUAAAUUUCACCAUGACACCAAAAAGAUUGCAUGGCUUUCUAAUAGUAGAGAUAUACUCAUCUUCAUAGUAAAUAAUCCCCUUCAUCGUACCCGUAUUGUGUUUACACAGCUACAUUCAAAAACUUUAUUUUAGGCAUUAUCAUCCUAAUUCAAAAAUAAUAUUAUGAAAUGGUACGUGAUAGACCUUUGGCUCUUUAUUAAUGAUUGUAUUUGUGUGACUUAAUUUGUCUCUUAAAUUUGAUUCUUCGUCCCAUAAAAAUAAUAUAUAAGCCUAAUUAGUCUUUGUACGUAGUAUCAUCGAUCUUAUACGUACAUUGUCAUGCAUUUAUCUGUUGUAAUAUCAUCGGUUAUUUGUUGACGAGCAGAAUAUAUGGUAGGUAGCAAAUUACUUAAUUCCGAGCACAAAAAUACAGAAAUGAAUUGUUUGUCUUGAUCGGUGGGUGGUGUCUUAAUUCCAAUCAUCUGGUAGGUAGCAAAUUACUUAAUUCCAAUCAUUUGUCUAGACCUAGAACUGGAGGGUGGUGUCUUCUUAAGAAAUUGAAAUCUGUGCACACAGCCAUCGAAUAAAUUCAACAAAGUCCUCAGUGGUGGACUGGUGGGCAUUGGACAACAACCUUACGCCACUUCGGCUCCAUCGAUCUCAGCAUAUAUGCUUUACAAAUAUUUCUUCUGCCGACAAUUUCACCCACGCUAUAUAUGCACAACCCAGGCCUCCCAUCUAUUCUGUCCGGUACGGUGAGUUUGAGACCGAUCAGCAUCGUCGACGAUCCAAUGACUCAAUUCAUACACCAUUCAUGUACAAAAACCAAACGAGUUUAUAACCAAUUUUUCAUCGAGUUUAUUGAGGCCACUGUGCAUUUUGAACUCUGAACGACUCAUGCAUCUUCAAUCAUGUACGUGUACCUAACUGAACCUAAAUCAAAUUCACGUACACUAUAAUCCAUAUACCCCUCCCUCUACAACCAACUAAAAUGUACGAUGAUCAUGGUAAAUUGGAGUGUGUAUCACUGUGUCACAACUAUUACAGGGUAAGAAAAAAAUGACCCGUCAAUGGUGUAUAUGGGUUGGCCUUGUGCACCAGCUUGUAAUCCACGGAAGGGCCGGAUGUGAUUUCUUCGACUGUUGUCGAGGCACUGAACUCUUCUACUCCUCCAUUAAAGACUACUACCUUGAUCUUCUCUUGGGGCGGAUGGAACGGAGCACAGAUACAGUUUCCCAUGGUAGUUCUUGAAUAUCGAUGACUGCUACUGCAAAAGAAUUAGGAGUCUCAUCGUUUUAUAGUGUGGCUCUGGCUUUGAUCAUAUUCCACAUGGGAAGGCAGUUUGACGUGCAAGCCAUGUUUACAAGCUUUUAACACCAAUACUAAUAUGGGGUUAUUUUUAGUUCCCAAAGUCAACUAGUUGUGUGCAUCUAGAACUAGGCAGUCUAAACAAGCAUUAUGAUAAUACGAACUACAUCAAAGUCAAAUGGCCGGUCUGUGCAGAAGACCCCUUGCUGAUCAUCUCUCGGUAAAUUUUCUUGGCCUGCCAAGGCCUCUUAGCUCUUCCCUUGGCAUCCAACAAAGUAUUAUAAAUAACCAUGUUCGGCUUAACCCCAAUUGCCUUCAUUUCCUCGUAAACAUUCAAGCACCCAUCAUAAUUCCCCGAUUGCCCGUGAAUCUUAACCAACGUUGCAAUUGUCACUGGAUCAAUGCGCCAUUUCUCUGUCCUAGCGCGGUCAUACAAGCUGAAAGCCUUGUCAACAUUACCGGCACGGCCAUAUGCAUCGAUCAUAGCCGAAUAGGUAACAUCAGGACUACACCCGUAACUAGUCAUCUUCUCAAACCACUCCACAGCCUUAUCAGGCAGAUAACACAUCCUAGCACAGCUAAUCAUAGUCGAAAACGUAACAUUAUCAGGUGUACCACCUCUCUCAAGCAUCUCAUUAAACAGCUUCUCUGCUCUCACUAAAUCCAUACACUUUCUAAACACUUUCAAUGUCACAUUGUAGAGAACCACUUCCCUCUUAGGUUUAAACCUCUGCUGAAAGUACUUUAGAGCAAGUAAGGCAUUUUCGGGGUUACCAUGGUAUUAAGAACAACGACAGCAUCUUGUUCCAAAACCCCAUCACCUAAAGUCUUUAAAAUAUCAAAAACAUCACUUUCACUUAGGCAGACAGAGUUCAAGGACUCAGCUACUUUGACUAAAGAAGUGUACCUGGAAUCGUAGGACUUGUUCCUAAGAUGAGAAGCCCUGGGGCUGCUGGGAUUGACCCAAACAUAGCUUUUGGAGGAAGACUCGGAAUUUCCAUCGGGGUUUUCAGUUUUUAGGGUUUCUUGUAAAGAAACAUGGUUUAUUUGGAGAGAAAUUGUGGAGUGAAGAGUAGGGAAG
Molecule: long non-coding RNA, 18911 nt
Filed under: Fragaria vesca (wild strawberry)
Lineage: Eukaryota; Viridiplantae; Streptophyta; Magnoliopsida; Rosales; Rosaceae
Description: long non-coding RNA (FVES_LNC001113)
Source: RNAcentral